AUGAACGCUGGCGGCGUGCCUCAUACAUGCACGUCGAGCGAACAGAUGAGGAGCUUGCUCCUCUGACGUUAGCGGCGGACGGGUGAGUAACACGUGGAUAACCUACCUAUAAGACUGGGAUAACUUCGGGAAACCGGAGCUAAUACCGGAUAAUAUAUUGAACCGCAUGGUUCAAUAGUGAAAGACGGUUUUGCUGUCACUUAUAGAUGGAUCCGCGCCGCAUUAGCUAGUUGGUAAGGUAACGGCUUACCAAGGCAACGAUGCGUAGCCGACCUGAGAGGGUGAUCGGCCACACUGGAACUGAGACACGGUCCAGACUCCUACGGGAGGCAGCAGUAGGGAAUCUUCCGCAAUGGGCGAAAGCCUGACGGAGCAACGCCGCGUGAGUGAUGAAGGUCUUCGGAUCGUAAAACUCUGUUAUUAGGGAAGAACAAAUGUGUAAGUAACUAUGCACGUCUUGACGGUACCUAAUCAGAAAGCCACGGCUAACUACGU
RNAcentral lists this ribosomal RNA (495 nucleotides) under uncultured bacterium. RNAcentral describes it as "partial 16S ribosomal RNA". It matches the Rfam family "Bacterial small subunit ribosomal RNA", at positions 29 to 506 of the family's 1533-position model. The record is from RNAcentral.